This 465-nucleotide ribosomal RNA is filed under the name Vreelandella stevensii. RNAcentral describes it as "partial 16S ribosomal RNA". It matches the Rfam family "Bacterial small subunit ribosomal RNA", at positions 338 to 795 of the family's 1533-position model. The record is from RNAcentral. Lineage: Bacteria; Pseudomonadati; Pseudomonadota; Gammaproteobacteria; Oceanospirillales; Halomonadaceae.
CCUACGGGUGGCAGCAGUGGGGAAUAUUGGACAAUGGGGGGAACCCUGAUCCAGCCAUGCCGCGUGUGUGAAGAAGGCCCUCGGGUUGUAAAGCACUUUCAGUGAGGAAGAACGCCUGGUGGUUAAUACCCAUCAGGAAAGACAUCACUCACAGAAGAAGCACCGGCUAACUCCGUGCCAGCAGCCGCGGUAAUACGGAGGGUGCGAGCGUUAAUCGGAAUUACUGGGCGUAAAGCGCGCGUAGGUGGCUUGAUAAGCCGGUUGUGAAAGCCCCGGGCUCAACCUGGGAACGGCAUCCGGAACUGUCAAGCUAGAGUGCAGGAGAGGAAGGUAGAAUUCCCGGUGUAGCGGUGAAAUGCGUAGAGAUCGGGAGGAAUACCAGUGGCGAAGGCGGCCUUCUGGACUGACACUGACACUGAGGUGCGAAAGCGUGGGUAGCAAACAGGAUUAGAUACCCCAGCAGUC